Non-coding RNA from Picea glauca (white spruce), 116 nucleotides. NCBI's taxonomy places the organism in Eukaryota, Viridiplantae, Streptophyta, Pinopsida, Pinales, Pinaceae. The record is from Rfam.
UCUUAUGCACAUGCCUACAACAUAGCAUUAACGCCCUGGAUCCUAGUCAAGUGUGCUUGGGCUAGAGUAGUACUCGGAUGGGUGAAUGCCCAAGAAGUCCUAGUGUUUUAUAUGCC